This 151-nucleotide small RNA is filed under the name Syntrophobacterales bacterium. RNAcentral's name for it is "c-di-AMP sequence". It matches the Rfam family "c-di-AMP riboswitch aptamer (ydaO/yuaA leader)". From Rfam's summary of the family: This family represents a conserved RNA structure found upstream of the ydaO and yuaA genes in Bacillus subtilis and related genes in other bacteria. The ydaO/yuaA element is thought to act as a genetic "off" switch for the ydaO and yuaA genes in its native state. Lineage: Bacteria; Pseudomonadati; Thermodesulfobacteriota; Syntrophobacteria; Syntrophobacterales. The record is from RNAcentral.
UCCGACCAACCGCCGAAUUCUCCGAAACCCAAACGGAGAAGCGGGGGACCCAAGUUAUUGGGGCGAAUCCGCCUAGUUCGUCUAGGCGGUAGGGCAAGCAACCUCCCGCCCGAGCCCGUCAGCUAACCCCGUAGGCAGGAGGAGGCUAUGC